RNAcentral lists this microRNA precursor (98 nucleotides) under Caenorhabditis brenneri. Its description in RNAcentral is "pre miRNA CBN34108". Lineage: Eukaryota; Metazoa; Nematoda; Chromadorea; Rhabditida; Rhabditidae. The record is from RNAcentral.
CAGUCAGAUGGAUCGAACCUUUCCUGGUUUCAACCGCGGUGAUUUUUCUUAACAAUGAUCAUCACCGGGUUCAAACUGGCCUAGGACAAAUCCUUCUA